Potamilus streckersoni is the source of this 73-nucleotide non-coding RNA. The record is from the annotation of a GenBank genome assembly. Lineage: Eukaryota; Metazoa; Mollusca; Bivalvia; Unionida; Unionidae.
GCUCCGGUGGCCUAGUGGAUGGAGCGUCCGCCUCGGAUGCGAGAGAUCGCAGGCUCGAAUCCCGGCCGAAUCA